GGGGAUUUAGCUCAGUGGUAGAGCACGUGCGUAGCAAGUGCAAGGCCCUGGGUUCGAUCCCCAGCUCCA
Non-coding RNA from Rattus norvegicus (Norway rat), 69 nucleotides. The record is from Rfam. NCBI's taxonomy places the organism in Eukaryota, Metazoa, Chordata, Mammalia, Rodentia, Muridae.